Molecule: long non-coding RNA, 1908 nt
Organism: Amphimedon queenslandica
Lineage: Eukaryota; Metazoa; Porifera; Demospongiae; Haplosclerida; Niphatidae
Exons: 5
Source: RefSeq, a predicted model, not a curated record
AUUAUAAUAAUUGUUAGUUUUAUAGUAACUGCUGAUAGUUCGUCAACAACAGCUGCUACUAGGACCAAUCAUCAGAAAGAAUGUAAAACAUUGAGGGGCUCUGCCUCCAGACCGCACCUCCCAGUCACGCCCAGACGUACGUUCAAGUUCUUGUAAGGGCUUUGCCCAAUAAAUAGGAACUACUGUAUCAUCAUAUUGUUCAUCUACUAGACUGUACUAGUAAUGAAUUAAUAGCUACAGCAAUGUAUACUCCUUGUAUUGUUAUUAAAGUAUAGGUCAGGAUUCCUUAUUAAAUGCUCAUAAUUAUUCAAACUUUCUGACUGUAUGAGAAAACAUUGCUAGUAUAGCCUACACUAUGAUCAGUGAGUAAUUAAUUAUAAUUAAUUCCAGGGGGUCUAAUUCUGCCCUUUUUUUACCGACCCCUUGAAGUUUACUGUCAUGUGAAGUUACCAUUAUUCGUACAUUAAUUUUGUACAUUAUCAAUGAUACAUAAUGAAUGGUCCAUAGUAAUAUGUCAUCUCCAAUGGAAGAGACACACGUGUCAUAUAUGGUAUACACUAGUCAAUAGUGUCUGCUGGAGUAGAGGAGGAGGUGUCUGUUAUAAGGAGUGUAUCUGUUAAUAGUAUCACAUUGUACUAAUAAUAGUGAUAAUAGUAUUUAAUAAUAAUUGUUUUUAAUAGUUGUUUGCCGCUCCCAAACUGUUUGACUCCGUCACUAGUAAUGUUAUCAUAUCUUCAAUGAGACACUGGAUAAUGGAUAUAUUAUAAUAAUUGUUAGUUUUAUAGUAACUGCUGGUAGUUCGUCAACAACAGCUGCUACUAGGACCAAUCAUCAGGAACUACUGUAUCAUCAUAUUGUUCAUCUACUAGACUGUACUAGUAAUCAAUCAAUAGCUACAGCAAUGUAUACACCUUGUCUUGUAUUGUUAUUAAAGUAAAGGUCAGGAUUCCUUAUUAAAUGCUCAUAUUUAUUUAAACUUUCUGACUGUAUGAUAAAAUAUUGCUAGUAUAGCCUACAUAAUGAUCAGUGAGUAAUUAAUUAUAAUUAUCCGAGGGGGUCUAAUUCUGCACUUUUUUACCGGCCCCUUGAAGUUUACUGUCAUGUGAAGUUACCAUUAUUCAUACAUUAAUUUUGUAUAUUAUCAAUGAUACAUAAUGAAUGGUCUGUAGUAAGUAUGUCAUCUCCAAUGGAAGAGAUACACAGUACAUAUAUGGUAUACUAUACUCAACAGUGUCUGCUGGAGUAGAGGAGGAAGUGUCUGUUAUAAGGAGUGUAUCUGUUAAUAGUAUCACAUUGUACUAAUAAUAGUGAUAAUAGUAUUUAAUAAUAAUUGUUUUUAAUAGUUGUUUGUGGUUCCCAAACUGUUUGACUCCUCCCACUACUGUCACUAUUUUAUAGUAACUGCUGGUAGUUCAUCAACAACAGCUGCUACUAGAGACCAACCAUCAGGUUAGUUCAAAUUAUAGUCAGACUCUCCCCUGGUCAGGCGUUGGGUCUCAGUAUUGUUGGUGGGUGUGGCUCUCCCACUGGGGACGUACCCAUUUACGUAAAGAGGAUCCUACCUGAGUCAGUGCUACAGAAAGACUCAAAGAUAAAGACUAGAGAUGAACUGGUAGCAGUUAAUGAUUUAAUAAUACAUAAUGUAUACUACAUGUAUGUCCUGACAUAGUACAACUAAGGUUUAUGCUACUCAGCUACUGGUGGCUGGUGCACUUAUUAAUGUACAGGCAUCAAGUGUCAGUGGUACAGGGAACAGUGAGACUACUACUUAUACAAGACCUGCUGUAUAAAUUAUUGUUAUGAUAUGUGGACUGUAUUGAAUGAAUCUAUUUUGAUCUCUUUCUUUUAUUUAUUUCUUCUCUUGUGUUGUUAAAAGUAAAAAUGAGAAUUAGUUCAUUGCUCACUGCA